RNAcentral lists this ribosomal RNA (490 nucleotides) under uncultured bacterium. RNAcentral describes it as "partial 16S ribosomal RNA". It matches the Rfam family "Bacterial small subunit ribosomal RNA", at positions 30 to 507 of the family's 1533-position model. The record is from RNAcentral.
AUUGAACGCUGGCGGCAGGCCUAACACAUGCAAGUCGAACGGUAACAGGGAUCAGCUUGCUGAUUCGCUGACGAGUGGCGGACGGGUGAGUAAUGUCUGGGAAACUGCCUGAUGGAGGGGGAUAACUACUGGAAACGGUAGCUAAUACCGCAUAACGUCGCAAGCCCAAAGAGGGGGACCUUCGGGCCUCUUGCCAUCGGAUGUGCCCAGAUGGGAUUCGCUAGUAGGUGGGGUAACGGCUCACCUAGGCGACGAUCCCUAGCUGGUCUGAGAGGAUGACCAGCCACACUGGAACUGAGACACGGUCCAGACGCCUACGGGAGGCAGCAGUGGGGAAUAUUGCACAAUGGGCGCAAGCCUGAUGCAGCCAUGCCGCGUGUAUGAAGAAGGCCUUCGGGUUGUAAAGUACUUUCAGCGGGGAGGAAGGGAGUAAAGUUAAUACCUUUGCUCAUUGACGUUACCCGCAGAAGAAGCACCGGCUAACUCCGUG